CAGUCGCCACGGUAAAACGAAGGGUGCAAGCGUUACUCGGAAUUACUGGGCGUAAAGCGUGCGUAGGUGGUGGUUUAAGUCCGUUGUGAAAGCCCUGGGCUCAACCUGGGAAUUGCAGUGGAUACUGGGUCACUAGAGUGUGGUAGAGGAUAGUGGAAUUUCCGGUGUAGCAGUGAAAUGCGUAGAGAUCGGAAGGAACAUCUGUGGCGAAGGCGACUAUCUGGGCCAACACUGACGCUGAGGCACGAAAGCGUGGGGAGCAAACAGGAUUAGAUACCCCCGUAGUCCCUGUCUCUUAUAC
RNAcentral lists this ribosomal RNA (301 nucleotides) under uncultured bacterium. RNAcentral describes it as "partial 16S ribosomal RNA". It matches the Rfam family "Bacterial small subunit ribosomal RNA", at positions 509 to 807 of the family's 1533-position model. The record is from RNAcentral.